RNAcentral lists this ribosomal RNA (456 nucleotides) under uncultured Sphingobacteriales bacterium. Its description in RNAcentral is "bacterial SSU rRNA". It matches the Rfam family "Bacterial small subunit ribosomal RNA", at positions 924 to 1382 of the family's 1533-position model. Lineage: Bacteria; Pseudomonadati; Bacteroidota; Sphingobacteriia; Sphingobacteriales. The record is from RNAcentral.
CACAAGGCGGAGGAACAUGUGGUUUAAUCGAUGAUACGCGAGGAACCUUACCUGGGCUUAAAUGUAGAGUGCAUGAUGUGGAAACAUGUCUUCCUUCGGGGCUCUCUGCAAGGUGCUGCAUGGUUGUCGUCAGCUCGUGCCGUGAGGUGUCGGGUUAAGUCCCAUAACGAGCGCAACCCUUAUCGUUAGUUGCCAGCGGGUAAUGCCGGGAACUCUAACGAAACUGCCGGUGUAAACCGAGAGGAAGGUGGGAUGACGUCAAAUCAGCACGGCCCUUAUGUCCAGGGCUACACACGUGUUACAAUGGCCGGUACAGAGGGCAGCUACCUGGAGACAGGAUGCGAAUCUCGAAAGCCGGUCUCAGUUCGGAUCGGAGUCUGCAACUCGACUCCGUGAAGCUGGAUUCGCUAGUAAUCGCGCAUCAGCCAUGGCGCGGUGAAUACGUUCCCGGGCCUU